This 437-nucleotide ribosomal RNA is filed under the name uncultured bacterium. RNAcentral describes it as "bacterial SSU rRNA". It matches the Rfam family "Bacterial small subunit ribosomal RNA", at positions 954 to 1392 of the family's 1533-position model. The record is from RNAcentral.
GCUAAACGCGAAGAACCUUACCAAGGCUUGACAUACACGAGAACGGGCCAGAAAUGGUCAACUCUUCGGGGCGGUAUACAGGUGGUGCAUGGUUGUCGUCAGCUCGUGUCGUGAGAUGUUGGGUUAAGUCCCGCAACGAGCGCAACCCUCGUUCUAUGUUGCCAGCGCGUAAUGGCGGGGACUCAUAGGAGACUGCCGGGGUCAACUCGGAGGAAGGUGGGGAUGACGUCAAAUCAUCAUGCCCCUUAUGUCUUGGGCUUCACGCAUGCUACAAUGGCCGGUACAAAGGGCUGCAAUACCACAAGGUGGAGCGAAUCCCAAAAAGCCGGUCUCAGUUCGGAUCGGGGUCUGCAACUCGACCCCGUGAAGUCGGAGUCGCUAGUAAUCGCAGAUCAGCAACGCUGCGGUGAAUACGUUCCCGGGUCUUGUACACACCG